GGCUUAGAACGAACGCUGGCGGCGCGUUUAAGCAUGCAAGUCGAGCGGCAAGGGCCUUCGGGCCCCUAGAGCGGCGGACGGGUGAGUAACACGUGGACAAUCUGCCCCCCGGCCCGGGAUAGCCCAGGGAAACCUGGAUUAAUACCGGAUGAGACGGGACCCGCGAUGGCGGGAUCCGGGAAAGGCGCUGCGGCGCCGCCGGGGGAUGAGUCUGCGUCCCAUUAGCUAGACGGCGGGGUAACGGCCCACCGUGGCGACGAUGGGUAGCCGGCCUGAGAGGGUGGACGGCCACAUUGGAACUGAGACACGGUCCAGACUCCUACGGGAGGCAGCAGCUAAGAAUCUUCCGCAAUGGGCGAAAGCCUGACGGAGCGACGCCGCCGUGAACGAAGAAGGCCGUGAGGUUGUAAAGUUCUUUUCGGGAGGGGGAACAACCGUGGCAGGGAAUGGCCGCGGGAUGACGUGAGUCCCGGAAUAAGCCCCGGCUAACUACGUGCCAGCAGCUGC
RNAcentral lists this ribosomal RNA (507 nucleotides) under uncultured bacterium. Its description in RNAcentral is "bacterial SSU rRNA". It matches the Rfam family "Bacterial small subunit ribosomal RNA", at positions 21 to 518 of the family's 1533-position model. The record is from RNAcentral.